Long non-coding RNA from Sinocyclocheilus grahami, 264 nucleotides. RefSeq lists it as uncharacterized. The record is from RefSeq and is a predicted model, not a curated record. The transcript has 3 exons. NCBI's taxonomy places the organism in Eukaryota, Metazoa, Chordata, Actinopteri, Cypriniformes, Cyprinidae.
ACGCCAUUGGUUGAGCUAAUAAUGGAGCAUCAGGAAGGAACGCUGCAGCCUUGCAUAUUGGAUAUGAAAAACAUUUACACGUGGCUUUGUGGACAUCAUUGACCCUUCCCACAAGGCUAUCUGUGAAAAUUAAAUGAGGGACCCAUUUGGACCUGGUGGGACUCCAGCUAUGCUCUGUAUGACUUCAAUCUCAACUGGCUCUUUGGUGUUGGUUUGGUCUGUCUCAUGCAAACCUCUCUUUCUCACACACACACGCAUACUAAG